Molecule: ribosomal RNA, 500 nt
Filed under: uncultured bacterium
Lineage: Bacteria
Description: partial 16S ribosomal RNA
Rfam family: Bacterial small subunit ribosomal RNA
Source: RNAcentral
AUUGAACGCUGGCGGAAUGCUUUACACAUGCAAGUCGAACGGCAGCACGGACUUCGGUCUGGUGGCGAGUGGCGAACGGGUGAGUAGUGUAUCGGAACGUGCCCAGUCGUGGGGGAUAACGUAGUGAAAAUUACGCUAAUACCGCAUACGAUCUAUGGAUGAAAGCGGGGGAUCGCAAGACCUCGCGCGAUUGGGGCGGCCGAUAUCAGAUUAGGUAGUUGGUGGGGUAAAGGCCCACCAAGCCAUCGAUCUGUAGCUGGUCUGAGAGGACGACCAGCCACACUGGAACUGAGACACGGUCCAGACUCCUACGGGAGGCAGCAGUGGGGAAUUUUGGACAAUGGGCGAAAGCCUGAUCCAGCCAUUCCGCGUGCAGGAUGAAGGCCCUCGGGUUGUAAACUGCUUUUGUACAGAACGAAAAGGUUUCUACUAAUACUAGGAGCUCAUGACGGUACUGUAAGAAUAAGCACCGGCUAACUACGUGCCAGCAGCCGCCGUAA